Xylaria sp. FL0043 is the source of this 94-nucleotide non-coding RNA. The record is from the annotation of a GenBank genome assembly. Lineage: Eukaryota; Fungi; Ascomycota; Sordariomycetes; Xylariales; Xylariaceae.
GGCAACGUGGCUGAGUGGUUAAAGCGUAUGACUAGAAUUUAAUUAGCUACAUCAUAUCCCUUCGGGGUCGUAGGUUCAAGUCCUGCCGUUGUCG